AUUGAACGCUGGCGGCAGGCCUAACACAUGCAAGUCGAACGGUAACAGGAAGCAGCUUGCUGCUUUGCUGACGAGUGGCGGACGGGUGAGUAAUGUCUGGGAAACUGCCCGAUGGAGGGGGAUAACUACUGGAAACGGUAGCUAAUACCGCAUAACGUCGCAAGACCAAAGAGGGGGACCUUCGGGCCUCUUGCCAUCGGAUGUGCCCAGAUGGGAUUAGCUUGUUGGUGGGGUAACGGCUCACCAAGGCGACGAUCCCUAGCUGGUCUGAGAGGAUGACCAGCCACACUGGAACUGAGACACGGUCCAGACUCCUACGGGAGGCAGCAGUGGGGAAUAUUGCACAAUGGGCGCAAGCCUGAUGCAGCCAUGCCGCGUGUAUGAAGAAGGCCUUCGGGUUGUAAAGUACUUUCAGCGGGGAGGAAGGUGUUGUGGUUAAUAACCGCAGCAAUUGACGUUACCCGCAGAAGAAGCACCGGCUAACUCCGUGCCAGCAGCCGCAGUAA
RNAcentral lists this ribosomal RNA (506 nucleotides) under uncultured bacterium. RNAcentral describes it as "partial 16S ribosomal RNA". It matches the Rfam family "Bacterial small subunit ribosomal RNA", at positions 30 to 523 of the family's 1533-position model. The record is from RNAcentral.